RNAcentral lists this ribosomal RNA (169 nucleotides) under uncultured bacterium. RNAcentral describes it as "partial 16S ribosomal RNA". It matches the Rfam family "Bacterial small subunit ribosomal RNA", at positions 338 to 524 of the family's 1533-position model. The record is from RNAcentral.
CCUACGGGAGGCAGCAGUGAGGAAUAUUGCGCAAUGGGCGAAACCCUGACGCAGCGACGCCGCGUGAAGGAUGAAGGUCUUCGGAUUGUAAACUUCUUUUGUCGGGGAAGAUAAUGACGGUACCCGAUGAAUAAGCCACGGCUAACUCUGUGCCAGCAGCCGCGGUAAU